This 559-nucleotide ribosomal RNA is filed under the name Hypocreales sp. RNAcentral's name for it is "eukaryotic LSU rRNA". The stretch from base 195 to 348 matches the Rfam family "5.8S ribosomal RNA". The record is from RNAcentral. Lineage: Eukaryota; Fungi; Ascomycota; Sordariomycetes; Hypocreales.
UCUCCGUUGGGUGAACCAGCGGAGGGAUCAUUACCGAGUUUCCAAAACUCCCAACCCAUGUGAACCUUACCUAUCGUUGCCUCGGCGGGAAGCCCCGGCGCCCACACCCGGGCCCGGACCCAGGCGCCCGCCGCAGGACCCCUCAACUCGUGUCUCUCUGGAGCAUCGUCUGAGUGAGAAAACAAAUAAAUCAAAACUUUCAACAACGGAUCUCUUGGUUCUGGCAUCGAUGAAGAACGCAGCGAAAUGCGAUAAGUAAUGUGAAUUGCAGAAUUCAGUGAAUCAUCGAAUCUUUGAACGCACAUUGCGCCCGUCAGUAUUCUGACGGGCAUGCCUGUUCGAGCGUCGUUUCAACCCUCGGAGCCCCCUUCGGGGCACCGGUGUUGGGGAUCGACCGCCCCCCCGUGGCGGUCGGCCCUGAAACUCAGUGGCGGUCUCGCCGUAGCCUCCCUUGCGUAGUAGCACACACCUCGCACUGGACGGCCGGCGCGGCCACGCCGUGAAACCCCCCACCUCUGAAAUGUUGACCUCGGAUCAGGUAGGAUUACCCGCUGAACUU